AGAUUGGGAGUGAAAUGGCGCCAUCUGCUGUCGCUGGUGUUGAAUAGCAGUCAUUGGAACUGUGGGUCUGCUCUUUGGCACAGGAUUGCUCGAAACGAGGAUCCCACCCUGAAAGAGCCCUAAACAAGUGAACGCCUUUUUUGCUGCUUGCCGGUGCUGAGAUGCAGGGAAACAGUAUCUGAUGGGGAAACGUAGCACCCAGAACUACCAGUAGAACAUCCGCCUCACCAGGUUGGGAGUCCUCAUGGAGAACGCAGGUCAGUCGGCACAUUGAUCACCCCUCCAUCAGCCCAAUAUGGAAAGAUUCCUGGAUAAGCAGCCUGGUUUCACCCCUGGUUGUGACAGACCCCAGUUAAGAGCUACUGAUGUUCCACAAAGUAGAAAACUUGUAAGACCUCACAGGAUUUAUGAGGGAUGAUUGUGAUCCCUGACCCUAGUCCUUCAAAGUGUGUCUUAAAUUUUAUGUUCCAAGGAUAUUAUUGGUGAUUAUUUACUAACUCAUUUUUACAACUGUUUAGGUUGAAAGUCAUACCAUAAAAACAAAACGUUAAGAUCCUAACCUGGGGAGAAUAUAAUACAGAAUAUGUCAUACACAAAAUGGACAACUUAAGGCUUUUAUCAGGAAAAAACAUGAAAAGUACACAAUAAAAUUCAUUUGAAUUUUUUUAUUAAUCCGUUUUAUAAUCAAGUAAAUAUAUCUUCCACCGCAUAAAACAAAAAUUAGACAAUACUUCAUUUCAUUCAGUUUGACACUUCGAGAUCAUUCCUUCAAACAUUAACUUCAUAUACUUAUAUGUAACUUCAUAUCCAAAAGAGUUAAAAUUUCAUAUCCUGUGAUAGUAGCAAAAAUAAUUGAUUU
This is a long non-coding RNA of Xiphophorus couchianus (Monterrey platyfish), 859 nucleotides long. RefSeq lists it as uncharacterized. The record is from RefSeq and is a predicted model, not a curated record. The transcript has 2 exons. NCBI's taxonomy places the organism in Eukaryota, Metazoa, Chordata, Actinopteri, Cyprinodontiformes, Poeciliidae.